UACGUAGGGUGCAGGCGUUAAUCGGAAUUACUGGGCGUAAAGCGUGCGCAGGCGGUUUGCUAAGACAGGUGUGAAAUCCCCGGGCUUAACCUGGGAACUGCGCUUGUAACUGGCAAGCUAGAGUGUGGCAGAGGGGGGUGGAAUUCCACGUGUAGCAGUGAAAUGCGUAGAGAUGCGGAGGAACACCGAUGGCGAAGGCAGCCCCCUGGGCUAACACUGACGCUGAGGCACGAAAGCGUGGGGAGCAAACAGG
This 253-nucleotide ribosomal RNA is filed under the name uncultured bacterium. RNAcentral's name for it is "partial 16S ribosomal RNA". It matches the Rfam family "Bacterial small subunit ribosomal RNA", at positions 524 to 776 of the family's 1533-position model. The record is from RNAcentral.